RNAcentral lists this ribosomal RNA (539 nucleotides) under uncultured bacterium. Its description in RNAcentral is "partial 16S ribosomal RNA". It matches the Rfam family "Bacterial small subunit ribosomal RNA", at positions 355 to 887 of the family's 1533-position model. The record is from RNAcentral.
UGGGGAAUUUUGGACAAUGGGGGCAACCCUGAUCCAGCAAUGCCGCGUGAGUGAAGAAGGCCUUCGGGUUGUAAAGCUCUUUUGUCCGGGAAGAAAUCCCAUCCCUGAAUACGGGGUGGGGAUGACGGUACUGGAAGAAUAAGCACCGGCUAACUACGUGCCAGCAGCCGCGGUAAUACGUAGGGUGCAAGCGUUAAUCGGAAUUACUGGGCGUAAAGCGUGCGCAGGCGGUUGUGCAAGACCGAUGUGAAAUCCCCGGGCUUAACCUGGGAACUGCAUUGGUGACUGCACGGCUAGAGUGUGUCAGAGGGGGGUAGAAUUCCACGUGUAGCAGUGAAAUGCGUAGAGAUGUGGAGGAAUACCGAUGGCGAAGGCAGCCCCCUGGGAUAACACUGACGCUCAUGCACGAAAGCGUGGGGAGCAAACAGGAUUAGAUACCCUGGUAGUCCACGCCCUAAACGAUGUCAACUAGUUGUCGGGGAUUAAUUUCCUUGGUAACGCAGCUAACGCGUGAAGUUGACCGCCUGGGGAGUACGGUC